AUGGAGUUUACAGCAUUUAAAAAUGGUUUAAUGCAUGUGCAUUAAGUGUAGUCCCAGAUAUUCCUAAACUUGAUUUGUUUGCUAAGAAGAUUCUUAAAACAAAAAAUACCAUAAAAGUGGAAAGUGUUUUCCCUUAUCAUCCUGUGCAGAAUACUUGCUAAUCUUUUACUACACUUUACACACAUGCAUUAAACCUAUGAAUUAGUAAUUUUAUGUUGUAAUAUUUCAUCCAAUGAUGGUUUGUGUGAUGACAUGUAAUUGUUCAUUCAGUGAAGAUUUGUGUGAUAUUUGAUGUACAUAUAGUACAGCUUUUUUCUGCCCGCCAGUAGGGUGGCAUAUAGCAGUCGAACUGUCCGCCUCUUUCUGUCAGUCUGUCAGUCUGUGCGUCCGUCCAAAACGUUAACAUUGUCCAUAACUUUUGCAAUAUUGAAGAUAGCAACUUUAUAUUUGGCCUGCAUGUGUAUCUCAUGGAGCUGCAAUUUUUGAGUGGUGAAAGGUCAAGGGUCAUCCUUCAAGGUCACAGGUCAAAUAUAUGGCUUCAAAGCGACGCAGUAUAGGGGGCAUUGUGUUUCUGACAAACACAUCUCUUGUUGUCCAUGUAAUAAUAUUACAAAGGAUAUGUCGUUAUUGAAGUUUUUAAAAAGGAUUUUCAGAGCUUUUGUGCUUGCUUUGGUCAGCAAACAAAUUAGUCAGUGCUAUUUUUGUAGUGACUAAAAAAUACUUGUAAUUCUAUAUUUUCUUCAUCUUUAAGUUCAGAAAUGCCAAGACUCUUUGUUCAGUUAUUCCCUUGGAAGUCUAUAAAUAACAGAUCAUCUCUUUUCUGAAAUUCAUCAAAAUUCUCGUCAUAAAAUGACAGUUUAUCAUGCACAACAAAUAUAAAAUAAUGCUUCUGAAAGCAUAAUAAGAUUUUAAUUUUUUUUCUCUUGUCAGUUGGGAGUUAUUCAAUUUGAUCAAAUAAUGAUAUCAGUCGAACUGGUUUUUGAAAAAAUUAGUUCUUUAUUGAUGUAGCUUAAUGAGUGUGGUAUAAUUACAGUUAAUAUUAAUAUAAGACCGAAAAUAUCUGUGUCUGUUUACUGUAACAUGAUGAAAAUCACAUGGAUCAGUAGGUAGUUUUUUUGCUCACCUGGGCACAUGGUGCUCACGGUGAGUUUUUAAGAUACUGUGCCGAUUGUCAUCUGUCAGUCCAUGAGUGUGUGCAUUAAGUUUUCUUCUUAUGACUUGAUUGGCAGAUUUUUAUGAAACUACAGAAAAUAUCAUACGGUGACUCUUUAAAAUUUGUUGAAAUUGUUGAUUUCCGAUUCAUUUGAAGGUCACUGGGACUGAAAAUAUAUUUUAAAUUGAAAAUUUGAAAAAUCUUGUCUAUAACCACAAGGGUCAUUUGUUAGUAUUUGGUGUGUAAGAUUGUCUAGUGGUCCUCUACCAAGUUUGUUCAAUCAUGGCCAUGGGGUCAAAACUGGGCGGACUGUCUUUAUUCUUUAUUAAUUUAUGUUUGGUAGCCAAUUUGUAUACCUUGGUAAAUUUAUUCUGCCAUGAUUUCAUGUCUUGAAGAAGCAGUUGCACUUGUGAUCACUGGGAUUUUAUUUCAUUUUGGCUGUAAAUGUUUGUCACUUUUCAAUGCAAUGAAAGCAGCUUGUGACAGGUUUGACACAAGUACAUAUCCUUUAAGAAAGUCAGACCCACAUGAACAUCAUGAACAUCAUGAACAUGUUUAUAAUGCACUUAUUUUAUUCAGUAUAUUUUUGCAUAAUUAAAAGUUGGUGACAAUAUGCCUUGUGCAUCCAAAAGAUUGAAUCCUGCAUUUAUGAAACACAACAUUCCUUAUCUUGUGAUCAUUUUUAUACGCCCGUCUAUGACGGGACGUAUUAUGGUAUACCCCGCGUCCGUCUGUCCGUCCGUCCGUCUGUCCGUCCGUAUGUCUGUUAAUGUCGUACGCUACGUCAAAUAUCCUUCGAUGGAUUUUUUUCAAAUUUCAACACAAUCUUAAUAUUGAUAAACCCUGAUCCCCUUUCGUUUUUGACGGAAUUCUGAAUUGUCGUUCCAGAGUUAUGGGACUUUGUUCGUCAAAAUUUCGUUAUUUCAUUGAAUGUCCUACUGUAGCUAUAUAAAAAUGUUAAAGUUGUUAUAACUUUGGUAUGCUUGGACCUAGAGUCUUGAAACUUGACAUGAAGGUUGGCCAGAACUAGUAAGUAACCCCUGGACAUUUCAAGGUCAUUCAUUUGAAGGUCAAGGUCACUGUGACCUUGAAUGUAAAAAUGUUAAAGUUCUUAUUUCAUGUUAUAACUUUGGUAUGCUUGUACCUAGAGUCUUCAAACUUGAAAUAAAGAUUGGCCAGUACUAGAAGAUGACCACUGGUCAUUUCAAUGUCAUUCAUUUGAAGGUCAAGGUCACUGUGACCUUAAAUGUUAAAAUGUUAAAAUUGUUAUAACUUUGGUAUGCUUGGACAUAGAGUCUUAAAACUUGACAUGAAGGUUUGCAAGCACACUUAGAUGACCACUGGUCAUUUCAAGGUCAUUCAUUCUAAGGUCAAGGUCACUGUGACCUUAAAUGUUAUUGUUGUUCAUGUAUCCUACCGUAGCUCAAAUAUCCCCCGAUGGAUUUUUUAUACGCCCGUCUAUGACGGGACGUAUUAUGGUAUACCCCACGUCCGUCUCUCCGUCCGUCCGUCCGUCCGUCUGUUAAUGUCGUACGCUACGUCAAAUAUCCUUUGACAGAUUUUCUUCAAAUUUUAACACAAUCUUAAUAUUGAUAAACCCUGAUCCCCUUUCGUUUUUGACGGAAUUCUGAAUUGUCGUUCCAGAGUUAUGGGACUUUGUUCGUCAAAAUUUCGUGAUUUCAUUGAAUGUCCUACUGUAG
This is a long non-coding RNA of Dreissena polymorpha, 2853 nucleotides long. RefSeq lists it as uncharacterized. The transcript is spliced from 2 exons. NCBI's taxonomy places the organism in Eukaryota, Metazoa, Mollusca, Bivalvia, Myida, Dreissenidae. The record is from RefSeq and is a predicted model, not a curated record.